CCUUCCCAGCAAAGUGUCAGACCCUAGCCGCCAACCCUUCUCGUCUAGAGCUCGCGCCCCCUCAGCCUCCUCUCCUCCGACUCCCUCCUCUCCUCUCCGACGCUGCCGCCUUCCCUCUCCCGCUCGUCGCCUCUAUCGUCCCCUCGAUGCCCUCGCCUCCAUCCUCUCUUGUAGGGGCAGGGGCGUGUGAAUGAUAAGCAUCCCCGGCGGCAGCGGCUAGAGCCAAGAGUUCGCGGAGGCGGCAGAAGGACGAAUAGCGGCGGUCCGACCUUCGCUGCCCAUCCCGGGCUCAACUUCAUUGCGUACCGGUCGGCUGGAGGCUGCCCUCUUUGUUCGUUGUUCUGGUUCCAGUCUAAUCUGCGGGUCUGGACCUACAGGUACUGAGGCAGAUCUAUCAGACAUGGAGAAGAUCAAUGGUUUUAAGGCUGGUGAUUGGGUUAGAGUCAAAGCAAAAGUCCCCUUCCCCAAAUAGCCCUGAUACAGCCGAUCAAGUUUGGAUAGUUGCGAUUCAGGUUUGUGUGGAAAGUAAGUCGGUUUGAUUUACCCACCAUGACUCAUUUAUUCUAUGCAAUGUGACAUUUUCUUGGGCCUUCUGUUUGUAGCGUGGCACCUACAAAGAAAAGAUUAAGAGAGUAAUUUCUUAAUGAUUUUGUUUGUGCAGCAUAACAUAGUUACAUGGUUAUGUUGAAAAUAGCCAUGUUUUGCAGAAGAUAAACACAAGGAUCUACUUUACUUUUUUUUUCUUUGUCAUGUGCGUUCCCGCUGCAGACUUUUGAAGGGAAAUUCACCAUGGGACUUCAAAUAUUAUUGGUUCCGUGCUCAUCAGUUUACUUUCUUGCAUUUAUUCUUCAUGCUAUAUGCCACACUUUUCCUAUUUUGUUAAAGAAGUGAACUAAUUCCUAAACUUCCACCGUAUAUACAUUAACACUGGAAUACUAUACCGACCCAGCAAUACUCUGAUCCUUCGUUGUUUUUCGAAAAAAAUAUGAAUUUAUCUAUGUAGGUGUAGUACUAUAUCCCAUUGAAGCUUCUUUGUAAGACAUUAAUCUAUUUGGGUGCAUGCCUUGAAGGAGUAGUAUAUUGAGCACCCUAAGAUAAUCAUCGAGCUGUUUGGUGAAAUUUUAAAUGAUCCAUUAAGCGACCUUUUAUGAUUGACCAUUGUAUGAGAGCAUGUUUUAGUACUAUUUGGGCGAGUUAGAAUUCUGCAUGAUCACAUAUCAUGACUAUCUCCAUGAAAAAUGCUUUAGACUGUACAAUAAUGAAAAUAAGCAUUUUUGGCCUUUGAAACAUAUACUGUUGUUGGGACAUCUAAUUGGACCUUCCUAUGUAGAAAAUGAGAAGUGCUAAGUGUACAUAAACCUGCACUUCAUAUUGCUUACAUGCGUGAUUUAUCAUCUAUGAUCCUCUUUUAUCUUGCUUACUUACAUGAUUUAUUUGAUUGCUAGUAGAAAUAAUUAUAUUAGCAUGUAAGUUUGCUAACUUACUACCUUCCAUCUUAUUCAUCGAUAAUGCUUUGAAGACACCAACAAGAAUAACAGUUGUGCAUGAACAUGUCAAUUACAAUGACAAGUUCCCACCUUUCAACGAAGGAUCUCAUUUUAAAUCCUAAUUUUGCAUGCCUAGGUGGUUGGCUGAUGGAGAGUGUUGCACUACUGCUUAUUAAAUGAUAGUAGUGCAGCUCACGAUUUGAUUUAAUUAGCAUUUUGGUAGUGAAAAUAUGAAGACCCCUCUCAUGUGAGUUACUUGUUUUCAGAGAGAGAACGAUCAUUGGUAUUUAUAUGGAUUCGGUGCAUAUAAACAAUUAGCUCACAUUUAAGUUUGGUUUUUGAAUUAGCUUUCCAGUUAUGUACAUGUUUUCCUCGAUGAUGAUGUAUUUCUUCUUCUAAGAUGAAUUAGUAACUUUAGCACCAAAUAUGAAGCUAUUUGGACAAAGAAAAAUUUGAUUCCUCUUUGCUAUUUUCUCUCUUUAGUAUUGCUUUGAUGUUUUUUGUCACUAUUCGAUGUUCUGCCUUUAGUGGCCUCUGUCUUGGUUUACAGCUCCAUAUGGUUACCUACGUAUACAUAUGUAGGUUUUGUUUGAAUUGUACUCAAAUCGUGCAUAUGUUUCCAUAUUCUUGCUGUUAUACUAUGCUCCAAAUCAAGUAUAAAGAGAAAGACUAACUUCUGGCGAGCGAGUAGAGCAAGGCCCAUAGCCAGUAGGCUUGGGCAACCUCCCCUGAUAUAGUGAAGUUUGCCUGGCUAGCGCCCAUGGUUUUUCCCCUUUGUCUUGGAGGGGUUUUCGAUGUUAAAUCUUGUGUCUCUUGCUUGUUUUUCGUUCUUUCUCGAGUUGAUUUGCCUGUCGUAUCUCUAACAAGUGGCAUCAGAGCCUUGUUUCUGUCUAGGGUUUCAACAACAUGGCAUCGAUGAAAUUUGAUCUUCUGCUGCUGGACUACGACACGAGUUUUCCCUUGUGGCAAGUGAAGAUGCGGGAUAUCCUGGCACAUACCGAUUUGGACGAGGUGCUAGAUGGCUUCGGUGGAAAAGAACCAAAGGCGUGGACCAAGGAUGAAAAGCGUAGAGAUCGUAAGGCUUUUUUUGACACUUGAAACAGUAGGAGAGGCUCCUACUGUAUGUAUUAAAUUAAGUGACAAAAAGUCUUAUAGAGCUAUAACCUUACAUCCAUAGCCAUGUUGUAACUAAGGGGGAGGG
This is a long non-coding RNA of Triticum dicoccoides, 2688 nucleotides long. RefSeq lists it as uncharacterized. The record is from RefSeq and is a predicted model, not a curated record. NCBI's taxonomy places the organism in Eukaryota, Viridiplantae, Streptophyta, Magnoliopsida, Poales, Poaceae. The transcript is spliced from 3 exons.